AGCUUUGCAAAGUGGCAGUAUCUUAGCCAAUGAUGUUUAUCCAAGGCACGAUUACUGUUAAUUGAAAAAAAAAAAAAACAGUU
This 83-nucleotide small nuclear RNA is filed under the name Choloepus hoffmanni (Hoffmann's two-fingered sloth). RNAcentral's name for it is "U4 spliceosomal RNA (ENSCHOG00000016105.1)". The record is from RNAcentral. Lineage: Eukaryota; Metazoa; Chordata; Mammalia; Pilosa; Megalonychidae.